GGUUUCGUGGGCUUUGACAAAGGGCUUCAACUUUGAGUGCCAGUAUUGACAAGUGAUAAGUCUUCCUGAUAGGGAAACUGAGGCACAGCAAGGUCCACUUCCUUGGUCUACUGUGCAGCAGAGCAGUCUGUUCUAUCCUGGUACGGACAAAGAGGGAGUGUGCUGAUUGGACUGUGUCAUCAAGGCAGAAAGUGACAAUGGAAACAUGCCUCA
This is a long non-coding RNA of Mastomys coucha (southern multimammate mouse), 213 nucleotides long. RefSeq lists it as uncharacterized. Lineage: Eukaryota; Metazoa; Chordata; Mammalia; Rodentia; Muridae. The transcript is spliced from 3 exons. The record is from RefSeq and is a predicted model, not a curated record.